Molecule: ribosomal RNA, 396 nt
Filed under: uncultured bacterium
Lineage: Bacteria
Description: partial 16S ribosomal RNA
Rfam family: Bacterial small subunit ribosomal RNA
Source: RNAcentral
AUACGUAGGGGGCGAGCGUUGUCCGGAAUGACUGGGCGUAAAGGGCGUGUAGGCGGCGGUGUAAGUCGGGAGUGAAAGCCCCGCAUUCAAUGUGGGAAUUGCUUUGGAUACUGCAGUGCUAGAGUGCGGAAGAGGUAAGUGGAAUUCCCAGUGUAGCGGUGAAAUGCGUAGAGAUUGGGAGGAACACCAGUGGCGAAGGCGUCCUACGAGGCCGAAACCGGAGGCGAGUCGCUGAAGGGUUGGGAGAGAACAGGAUUUGAAUACCCGGGAGGCCACGCGGUAAACGAUGAAUGCUAGGGGUUGGGGGUAUCGGCGCCUUCAGUGCCGGACUAACCCGAAUAGGGAUUCGCCCUGGGGGGUACGGCGGAAAGGUAGAACUUCAAGGGAAUUGCGGGG